Long non-coding RNA from Bos indicus x Bos taurus (hybrid cattle), 1111 nucleotides. The record is from Ensembl. Lineage: Eukaryota; Metazoa; Chordata; Mammalia; Artiodactyla; Bovidae.
AGACAGCUGAGCAUCCUCCACGUGUUCCUUCUGCGAGGAUAAGUGCUUUUCUUAACUGAGUGCAUUUUUCUCCCAGCCCAUCCCUCCCACCUUGCCAUCUCUUCUCAUUGAACUUCCCAGUAAAUUAGCCUGUUGCUUUGACAACAGUUGGGACGCGAAGGUGGGGGAGGGCAAAUUGAAGGACUGGAAAAUACCGCAUCACUCUAGGGCAGGCCUGCUGCUGAGACCCAGACAGGAUGACAGCCAGGAGACGCCUGAAGACUGCAGUCAGCAACCGAGGGUGACUUGCCCUGAGCUGGAGGGGCUUUUCUUAUUCCUUCCCCUGCCCCUUGCAAGCUGCUAGGACUCUGCAAAUAAUGGAUGGAUCUCGGGGGAUUGAGCUGGUGUCUUGCCAAGAGAAAAGCAUAUUGAUGGCAACAGGUUGAAACCUCGAGUCAUGGCAAAAUUUAUGAUAGGGGCUUAUCAGCCUGAAGGAAAGAGAGUGGGGGAGGCCCAGGCGGUGUCUCUCCCCUCUGGAAUGUUCUGCUUGAUCCUUUUGCCACAUGAAAAAUGAAGUGUGGUGGACUAGAGGGGAGAGACCUUGUUAUGCUUGGAUGAUCACACAGACUUAGAUGCGGAGCCUGGUUUCAGAGUCUAACAAAUACCCAGGCAAUACCAGUUCAAGGGUGUAGAGAUAAAUAAUGGGCAACUCCCAUAAAAGGGUCAAACAUCUGACUUCAGAUAACAUGUUUCCUUUCUGAGUUGAAUUGCCUAGAGUUGAAUGAGGGUAAGAUUUGCAUUCACUUAUCUCUCCUUAACUCAGCUCAUAACUUUCCCUGUUUUCUCCCCAGGGUGUAUUAAAAACAGAGCUGCUUCCCAUGAAUGUGAUGGUUCCCAUUCAGAACUCUUACAACCUCGUCUUUGCGCUCUCAUCUUGACGGGAAAAAUAUCUUCCACGGUUUCAAGCCUCCUUAUGGCUAAAGCAGAGAUUGAUCACCCCUGGGAAGGAGAAGAAUUUUCUGAAAGUAAUAAGAAGAGGAAGCCUGAGUCUGUGCUGAAGGGUUCAGGGAGCAGAGAUGUAUUGAGACGUGAUGAGAGAAGAGGGAUGGCGGGGAGAAGCUGGAGCAAAUGA